This 72-nucleotide transfer RNA is filed under the name Cavia porcellus (domestic guinea pig). It matches the Rfam family "tRNA". From Rfam's summary of the family: Transfer RNA (tRNA) molecules are approximately 80 nucleotides in length. Their secondary structure includes four short double-helical elements and three loops (D, anti-codon, and T loops). The record is from Rfam by way of RNAcentral. Lineage: Eukaryota; Metazoa; Chordata; Mammalia; Rodentia; Caviidae.
GGCAGUAUGUCUCAGUGGUAAAGUACUUGCUUGGCAUGUGUGAACCCCUGGGUUCAAUCCCUAGUAUUACCA